Molecule: ribosomal RNA, 233 nt
Filed under: uncultured bacterium
Lineage: Bacteria
Description: partial 16S ribosomal RNA
Rfam family: Bacterial small subunit ribosomal RNA
Source: RNAcentral
CACGGGUGAGUAACGCGUAUCCAACCUGCCGUCUACUCUUGGACAGCCUUCUGAAAGGAAGAUUAAUACAAGAUGGCAUCAUGAGUCCGCAUGUUCACAUGAUUAAAGGUAUUCCGGUAGACGAUGGGGAUGCGUUCCAUUAGAUAGUAGGCGGGGUAACGGCCCACCUAGUCUUCGAUGGAUAGGGGUUCUGAGAGGGAGGUCCCCCACAUUGGAACUGAGACACGGUCCAA